GACGUAGGGCGCAAGCGUUUGUCCGGAUUUAUUGGGCGUAAAGAGCUCGUAGGCGGCUCGUUGCGUCGGCUGUGAAAACUCGAGGCUUAACCUCGAGAUGUCAUCGGAAACCAUCUGGCUAGAGUCCGGAAGAGGAGAGUGGAAUUCCUGGUGUAGCGGUGAAAUGCGCAGAUAUCAGGAAGAACACCAAUGGCGAAAGCAGCUCUCUGGGACGGUACUGACGCUGAGACGCGAAAGCGUGGGGAGCGAACAGG
RNAcentral lists this ribosomal RNA (254 nucleotides) under uncultured bacterium. RNAcentral's name for it is "partial 16S ribosomal RNA". It matches the Rfam family "Bacterial small subunit ribosomal RNA", at positions 524 to 776 of the family's 1533-position model. The record is from RNAcentral.